This 237-nucleotide long non-coding RNA is filed under the name Panax ginseng (ginseng). Its description in RNAcentral is "long non-coding RNA (PGIN_LNC009115)". The record is from RNAcentral. Lineage: Eukaryota; Viridiplantae; Streptophyta; Magnoliopsida; Apiales; Araliaceae.
UAAAUUGUUAAAAUAAGAAUAAAUAAUAAAAGAAGUUCUGUUUAUUUAUGUGAAUGAAUAAAAUGAUAAAAUCUAGAAAAAGGUAGUAGAAUUCAAAGAAGAAGAAAAAUAGAAACUACUUGUUGCCCUAAUCUUAGUGACAAUAACAAUUAUUGUCUUAUAUGGAGUAAUAAAGAAUAUGGAUAUUAACAAGCAAAAAGGAUUAAUUAUUCUUAUUCUUAGCACGAUGGAAGGUAC